RNAcentral lists this ribosomal RNA (469 nucleotides) under uncultured bacterium. Its description in RNAcentral is "bacterial SSU rRNA". It matches the Rfam family "Bacterial small subunit ribosomal RNA", at positions 25 to 518 of the family's 1533-position model. The record is from RNAcentral.
CAGAACGAACGCUGGCGGCAUGGAUUAGGCAUGCAGGUCGAACGAAGCAGCAAUGCUUAGUGGCGCAAGGGUGAGGAACACGUGAGUGACCUACCCGCAAGUUUGGAACAGCUCCUGGAAACGGGAAUUAAUACCGGAUGUGAUCGAUGAACUGCAUGGUUUAUUGAUUAAAGCAGUAAUGCGCUUGCGGAUGGGCUCGCGUCCCAUUAGCUAGUUGGUGAGGUAACGGCCCACCAAGGCCAUGAUGGGUAGCUGGUCUGAGAGGACGACCAGCCACACUGGGACUGAGAACUGCCCAGACUCCUACGGGAGGCUGCAGUCGAGAAUUUUGGGCAAUGGACGAAAGUCUGAACCCCCAGCAAUGCCGCGUGCGGGAUGAAGGUCUUCGGAUUGUAAACCGCUGUUUGGAGGGACGAAAAUUGACGGUACUUCCAGAGGAAGCCACGGCUAACUACGUGCCAGCCGCAGC